UACGGGGGGUGCGAGCGUUGUCCGGAAUCACUGGGCGUAAAGCGCACGUAGGCGGCUUUGCAAGUUAGAGGUGAAAGCCCGGGGCUCAACUCCGGAAUUGCCUUUAAAACUGCAUCGCUAGAAUUGUGGAGAGGUAAGUGGAAUUCCGAGUGUAGAGGUGAAAUUCGUAGAUAUUCGGAAGAACACCAGUGGCGAAGGCGACUUACUGGACACAUAUUGACGCUGAGGUGCGAAAGCGUGGGGAGCAAACAGG
This 253-nucleotide ribosomal RNA is filed under the name uncultured bacterium. Its description in RNAcentral is "partial 16S ribosomal RNA". It matches the Rfam family "Bacterial small subunit ribosomal RNA", at positions 524 to 776 of the family's 1533-position model. The record is from RNAcentral.